Non-coding RNA from Heterocephalus glaber (naked mole-rat), 1395 nucleotides. Lineage: Eukaryota; Metazoa; Chordata; Mammalia; Rodentia; Bathyergidae. The record is from RefSeq and is a predicted model, not a curated record.
UUGCUCUAGGGUUUGACAUUGCUGACAGUGUAUCAGGAUUCUGCAUCUAAGGAAGAAAGAAAACCAAAGGUUACAAAGGAAAUAAAACCAAUGAAGAGUAUACUGCAGGUUUGGUUUAAAUGCACAGAGCAAAACUGAAGAAGCACAACACAAACAUAUUCAACAAGAAGCCCAACAAAACUUAUCUACGGAUGAAGUCAAGACCAGUCUCUUCCAGAGCAACAUGGACGUAACACCCAUAUCCCCUACCUGUACCUAUACUGGAGCUAGUUUAUACAGAUCAUCUGACAGCCUCGUUCCAACUCAGCAGAUGUCCCAAUUUUAAGGUCUCCAGACACCAUACUGUCAGUCACAAAAUGGUCCAUUUUGUCUCCUCCAAGAUAUAACUAUAUACUGUGUUUACUCCAUUUUGGAAUGCCAAGAUUUUUCUUCUAUUCAUCUCUACAGUACAGUGAAGCUGGGCAAGAAAGGUCACAUAUAUUAUAAUGAUUCCCCUACAAGACCAAUACAGAUCAAACUAGAGAUACACAAACAUAGAUGGAUUUCAAAAACAGACUAAAAGAAAAUGAGAUGCGUAAAAGAAAAUAAGACCCACCCCACCAAAAAAGCUAUAUACUGUAUCAAUUCCACUUGUAUGAAUUCCUAGAACAAGGAAAACUGAUUUGUAAUGGCUGUUCACAUGGCAGAACUGAAGAGCAAGCAACACAAAAACAAAUUUAUUGGGCUGACAAAAAUGUUUCAUGUCUUAAUUAGUGUGCCAGUAACCUGGGUAUAUAAAGUCAUGGAAAUGUCCAAAACUGGAUAUCAAAUUUGCAUCAUAUUUUAUAUAAAUUACAUCUCAAUCAAAAUAUUUCUAACAGAGUUAGUAAGGGCAGUUCUCUCUUCACCUUCCUCCCUUUUUCUUUGAUGGCUGCCUUAUUUUUCAAUUCUUUUGGUCACAUCCUCAGCCAUCAUUUUACAUGCCCUGGGGGUUACCUGAACAACCCAUACUCAAGCUCCCUCCAGUAGUUCUGGGUUCUCCAAUUAUGUUCUAUAAAUGCUAACUAGGUAUAAUCCAUUACUUUAAAAAUUUUACAUUAUUCCUUUGCUCAAAAUCUGUGAAUAAGUUCUCAACAUUUAAUGUAUAGAAUGUAUAACAUGGUGACUAUACUAAAUACCUGAAAAUUGCUAACAGACUACUGUCCUCACUCAAGAAAAUAAUAAAUAUAUGAAGUGACAUGCAUGUUAAUCAGCUUGAUUUAAUCAUUCUACAAUUUACACAUGUCAAAAUAUCAUGUUGUACGCUGUUAAGUAUAUAAUUUUAUCCUCCCUCUCAAAAUAAUAUCCCACAAAACUUGCAACAUCGAAAGUUACCUCACAAAAGGUAUAUAUUAUAUACUCACAGAAAAGCACAAA